UGAGUAAAGGUGCUCCCAGACAGUAGUUAUAUAACGUUAGAUAACAUUUUUUUAAGAAUUUUUUUGA
Aricia agestis (brown argus) is the source of this 67-nucleotide long non-coding RNA. RefSeq lists it as uncharacterized. Lineage: Eukaryota; Metazoa; Arthropoda; Insecta; Lepidoptera; Lycaenidae. The record is from RefSeq and is a predicted model, not a curated record. The transcript is spliced from 3 exons.